This is a long non-coding RNA of Oncorhynchus tshawytscha (Chinook salmon), 1646 nucleotides long. NCBI's taxonomy places the organism in Eukaryota, Metazoa, Chordata, Actinopteri, Salmoniformes, Salmonidae. The record is from Ensembl.
GGUGAGUGUUGCGGAUAUGAACCAGAUUAAUCUCGGUUCAGGUUUCCCAAAUGAAACCCCACAGCUUGGUCUACGUCUACAGACAUUUUACAAGCAGGAUGCUGAGGUGAUUAUGUCAGAGCCAGGAAUGUCUCUCCUUCCUGUACUUUUGUUGAGUACACUGGUGGUCUAUCCAUCAUCAGAGGUUCUACUGAUGCCGACUCUGACCGUGGAGCCUUCAGGACGACAGGUGUACACUGAGGACACAGUCACCUUGGCAUGUCAGUUACCUGGCCACUCUGGGCUGGGCUGGCAGUUCUACUGGCACAAAGACAGGCAGGACACUGGCCCUGUGGAGCAGAUGUGGGGCAGUGGUGGAGGUGGGGCGGUCUACCAAAUGUGGCGUGCCUCUGUCACACACACAGGCCAGUACUGGUGCAGAGCAGGGAGAGGACAGCCAGUCUUCUACACCCAAUACAGCCAGGCAGUCUCUGUUAAUGUCAUUGAGCUCUUCACAUCAGUGACUUUGUCAGCAUUUCCUUCGACCGUGGUCAAAGAGGGCGGGGCUUUCAACCUCACCUGUGAGGCCCAGUUUAGCAACUGCAAGCUGAGCCAACAUCAUGGUAACCACAGUCUACAUAGUCACCCUGAUCCUAACUGGACCACAGUGGUUGUAACAUUCUCCUUCCUGAGGGACGGCUGGCCAGUUGCCAGGGACUCUGUCAGUGGGAUGUACAGCGUAGCGAGGGCUUCUAGCUGUCACAUGGGGACCUACAGCUGUGUGGCCAGAGCAGGCAGGGCCAGGAGGAGCAGUCAGGAGAUCAGCAUCACACUAGACAGUGAGUUCAUACUACAUCACCUGAACGUUUAGUUUGCCAAUUGCUAUAGGCUUUCAUUCCUGGUCUGAAAUCAUCUAUUAUUAUUUUUUUACCUUUAUUUAACUAGGCAAGUCAGUUAAGAACAAAUUCUUAUUUUCAAUGACGGCCUAGGAACAGGUUAACUGCCUGUUCAGGGGCAGAACGACAGACUUGUACCUUGUCAGCUCGGGGAUUUGAACUUGCAACCUUUCGGUUACUAGUCCAACACUCUAACCACUAGGCCACCCUUAUUGUGGUGCCAAAACUGGCACUCUUUACCGUUCACUUUGUAUCCUGAUCUCUCUCAUGCUGCCUUCAUCCAGACCUGUCUCUGAUACUGGUCACCUGCUUUGGCACCUUCCUGAUCCUCUCCGUGGCUCCAUUGGCAUUUUUUGUGAGACUAUACGCGAUGAGAUGUAAGUGGCAGCAUAGUGGAUCUUAGUCUGACUCUUGAGUCUCUGGGACUGAGUCAGUUCAACACCUAUCUCUUCUCUUUGUGUGACCAUGCAGUAUGGCAGCUCAGAGGCAGAGGACAAGGAGAAUUGCAGUGCAAUUCACAUGCUGUGAGAACUCAUGUAGUUCACAUGGCUGUAUUAGUGCACAGGUGUAGGAUCUUAAUUUCAUCACCCUGUUGCAUGUUUUUUACUCAAAAGAUUAAAACAGAUGUUUUAUUGUAAUCUUGCAGAUGUAUCUGGACCCAGCUGACUUGAGAAACUUUCUAUCAUUUAUUACAAAAUUGGAGUAUAGAAUAAUAAACAUAUAAUUAUUUGAAGAAUUUUGACCAAAGAAUGUUUUUGUUUUAUUUUCACC